AGACCCGAAACCCGGUGAUCUAGCCAUGGGCAGGUUGAAGGUUGGGUAACACUAACUGGAGGACCGAACCGACUAAUGUUGAAAAAUUAGCGGAUGACCUGUGGCUGGGGGUGAAAGGCCAAUCAAACCGGGAGAUAGCUGGUUCUCCCCGAAAGCUAUUUAGGUAGCGCCUCGUGAAUUCAUCUCCGGGGGUAGAGCACUGUUUCGGCUAGGGGGCCAUCCCGGCUUACCAACCCGAUGCAAACUGCGAAUACCGGAGAAUGUUAUCACGGGAGACACACGGCGGGUGCUAACGUCCGUCGUGAAGAGGGAAACAACCCAGACCGCCAGCUAAGGUCCCAAAGUCAUGGUUAAGUGGGAAACGAUGUGGGAAGGCCCAGACAGCCAGGAUGUUGGCUUAGAAGCAGCCAUCAUUUAAAGAAAGCGUAAUAGCUCACUGGUCGAGUCGGCCUGCGCGGAAGAUGUAACGGGGCUAAACCAUGCACCGAAGCUGCGGCAGCGAACGUAUCACCCAAGACAACUUUACGGAGUUGGCGAUUGACGGAGCGAAGCGACGUCAAAGCGUUCAUUAAAGUCGAGUUGGCUUAGGGAUACGUUCGUUGGGUAGGGGAGCGUUCUGUAAGCCUGUGAAGGUGUGUCGUGAGGCAUGCUGGAGGUAUCAGAAGUGCGAAUGCUGACAUAAGUAACGAUAAAGCGGGUGAAAAGCCCGCUCGCCGGAAGACCAAGGGUUCCUGUCCAACGUUAAUCGUGGCAGGGUGAGUCGACCCCUAAGGCGAGGCCGAAAGGCGUAGUCGAUGGGAAACGGGUUAAUAUUCCCGUACUUGGUGUUACUGCGAAGGGGGGACGGAGAAGGCUAUGUUGGCCGGGCGACGGUUGUCCCGGUUUAAGCGUGUAGGUGUGUGUUCCAGGUAAAUCCGGUUCACUUUAACACUGAGGCGUGACGACGAGGCACUACGGUGCUGAAGCAACAAAUGCCCUGCUUCCAGGAAAAGCCUCU
This 997-nucleotide ribosomal RNA is filed under the name Salmonella enterica subsp. enterica serovar 4,[5],12:i:-. RNAcentral describes it as "partial 23S ribosomal RNA". It matches the Rfam family "Bacterial large subunit ribosomal RNA", at positions 711 to 1622 of the family's 2925-position model. Lineage: Bacteria; Pseudomonadati; Pseudomonadota; Gammaproteobacteria; Enterobacterales; Enterobacteriaceae. The record is from RNAcentral.